Molecule: ribosomal RNA, 1235 nt
Filed under: metagenome
Description: bacterial LSU rRNA
Rfam family: Bacterial large subunit ribosomal RNA
Source: RNAcentral
UGAAUACGAGAUGCUACGGCGUCGAAGCAGUCUAUGUCAUACUUCCAAGAAAAGCUUGCACUGUCAUAAACAAAUAAUGCCUGUACCAUAACCGACACAGGUGGGUAGGUAGAGUAUACUAAGGGGCGCGAGAUAACUCUCUCUAAGGAACUCGGCAAAAUGACUCCGUAACUUCGGGAGAAGGAGUGCCUUAUUUAUAAGGUUGCAAUAACAAGAUCCAAGCAACUGUUUACCAAAAACACAGGUCUCCGCUAAGUCGUAAGACGAUGUAUGGGGGCUGACGCCUGCCCAGUGCCAGAAGGUUAAAGAAGUUGGUUAGCAUCCGCGAAGCUGAUAACUGAAGCCCUGGUGAACGGCGGCCGUAACGAUAACGGUCCUAAGGUAGCGAAAUUCCUUGUCGGGUAAGUUCCGACCCGCACGAAAGGCGUAAUGAUUUGGAUACUGUCUCGGAGAGGGGCUCGGUGAAAUAGACUUGUCUGUGAAGAUGCGGACUACCUGCACCAGGACAGAAAGACCCUAUGAAGCUUUACUGUAACCUGAAAUUGAAAUUGGACUUUACUUGCGCAGUAUAGGUGGGAGGCGUUGAGAAUAUUCUUGCGGGAUUGUUGGAGCCAUCAGUGAGAUACCACUCUUGUAAUGUUAGAUUUCUAACUUUGUAUCAUUAUCUGGUCAAAGAACAGUUUCAGGCGGGCAGUUUGACUGGGGCGGUCGCCUCCUAAACGGUAACGGAGGCGCACAAAGGUUUCCUCUGAACGGGUAGAAAUCGUAUCUAGAGUGUAAAGGCAUAAGGAAGCUUGACUGUGAGACCUACAAGUCGAGCAGGGACGAAAGUCGGUCUUAGUGAUCUGACGGUGCUGAGUGGAAAGGCCGUCACUCAACGGAUAAAAGUUACUCUAAGGAUAACAGGCUGAUCUCCCCCAAGAGUUCACAUCGACGGGGAGGUUUGGCACCUCGAUGUCGGCUCAUCGCAUCCUGGGGCGGUAGUACGUCCCAAGGGUUGGGCUGUUCGCCCAUGAAAGCGGUACGCGAGCUAGGUUCAGAACGUCGUGAGACAGUUCGGUCCAUAUCCGGUGUAGGCGUUAGAAUAUUGAGAGGAGCCUUCUUUAGUACGAGAGGACCGAGAAGGACAUACCUCUGGUGUACCAGUUAUCGUGCCAACGGUAAACGCUGGGUAGCUAUGUGUGGAGUGGAUAACCGCUGAAAGCAUCUAAGUGGGAAGCCCACCUCAAGAUAAG